Molecule: long non-coding RNA, 1827 nt
Organism: Morone saxatilis (striped sea-bass)
Lineage: Eukaryota; Metazoa; Chordata; Actinopteri; Moronidae
Exons: 5
Source: RefSeq, a predicted model, not a curated record
CACACACACAAACCAGAAGCUGAGAAAUUAGGUCUGGGAGUGUAUGCCUGUGUUUUAAAUGUGUACAGUGGACGUAGCGUGUGGGGUGGAAGUGCAGAGCGGAGUGAGUCUUAAAGCUGGAAGGAGAGAAAGAAAGACAAAUAUGAGGCUUAUGUAAAGCUCCUUAAUAUUUCAGGUUCGUACAGGCACUGAGGGAUGAAUGAAAGAAUAGAUGGAUGGGUGAAUGAAUGGACGGAUGGAGGUCUGCCACUGCAGGACGAGUGACGUCAGCCCUGUAAACUAAGCACAUAAUCCUCCGUAGGCCUGACCCACUCCUUUAGUGUAAGAGACUGACAUCUAGUGGUCAGCAGCUAGAACACCAUCAUUCUGACGUUUUGCUUUCUUUUAACACUCAAAAACGUCCAAAUGUAUAAUCCUGAUUUCUUGCUCACCUCUUUGUGUUACAUCUGUGUUUGCUCGGCCUGAGUGCGGUGGCCCAGAUGAGCUCCAAGAAGCACAGGCUGAUGACAGCACCUCAUCAAACUGUAAAGUGGUAUAAAAAGACACAGCGGAAAUGAAGAGGUCACCGAUAAGUGAACAGCGAUGACAGCGGCGAACCGUGCGAGCUGGAGGCCAUUCAGAAGGAGCUGGAAGAGCUGCUGGUUAAAAAGGAAGAGUUGGAGAAACAGGGAAAGAGCUCCAAGCUCAGCGAUGGUCAACAGGAUGUGUGUCCCACUUUUUGUAAAACUGAGACACCCUGUGGGGGAAUCUACUUGCUGCCACCUCCCCAGCUGACAGAGGAGGACAUUGCACUGGAUUGGAGAGAAAAAACUAGGCCUGCAGCAGAAGAACCAAAAGGCCCAAUCGUCUCAGCGGACAGUCUAGGUCAAAUGCCAGCUGUGACCCAGUGUCCAUCCUGUCAAGAAGUUGUCUUCACAGAGACCUGCAGGAAAAGGGGCGAGGCUAUGUGGAUACUUUGCUACAUAUGCACCAUAUUGGGGUGUGUCGCAGGCUGCUGUUUAAUCCCUUUCUUCAUGGACCGUCUGAGGAACGUCCAACACCGGUGUCCCAGGUGCCAGGCACUCAUACACACCUACCGGCCAUUUUGACACGGGGGUUAGAACAGCCCCUGAAGUACCAUUCCUUCUGUCCUCGAGUGACCCUUUCCUGUGAUCUUGGACUUGUUUGGGACUCUUGGACUUUUACUCCCCUGCCCCACCAACACUACAUUAAGGAAACUCCACAAGCAUUUUCACACUUUGCUUUUCGUCUGGGAGGGGCUUGUUUCACGUUCGACUCUACAAUGGCAACUGCAGCGCUGAUACAAACUGCACAAAGGCUCAGACAAUCAAACAUACUAUUCUUUGACCGCACCUGUGAUGUCGCUGCUAAAACUCAUAUUGUAAAAGUCAGCAUCAGUUUGCCUGAAUAUCUGCAUGGACGCAAAAUACUGCUCAUUUAAUGUGUCAGAUACAAAGGCUGCAGCAAAAAAACGAUUCCUAAACUAAAAAGGGUUGAGGCCCGUUUGCUGCUUAUGUUAGGAUACAGCUUUAUUGGUUGUCUAUCAACCAUACAAUGACCCUUGGUGUAGGGACAACAUACUUUUGGGAACAUCCAUUAUCUGAAAGCAAAAUGUAAAUAUAUUACUGAAGAUAUGCAAACAUGGGCCACAAACAGUUUUCAUACACUGUAAACCACAACACAAUUCAAAUGUAGUGGCUUCCUUCAUUCUUCUGUUUCCGCAGGCUCACCUGUUACUGGAAAAGCGACACUGUUCAUAAUGUUUGUAAUGUAUUUAUAGAAAAAUGUGAAUUACUCAGUAACUCUUAACCUCUGCAGAGGAGUUCA